AUGCGGGACUCAUCAGAGGCCUCGCAAUUGGAAUGAGCGCACUUUAAAUCGUUCGACGAGGAUCUAUUGGAGGGCAAGUCUGGUGCCAGCAGCCGCGGUAAUUCCAGCUCCAAUAGCGUAUAUUAAAGUUGUUGCAGUUAAAAAGCUCGUGGUUGGAUCUGGGGUUCGGGUCGGCGGUUUGCCGCUUCGGCGGCUACUGCCGUGCUCGACUCUUACUAGCCGGUGCGUCUUGCGGUGCUCUUCAUCGAGUGCCGUAGGAGCCUGGCAUGUUUACUUUGAAAAAAUUAGAGUGCUCAAAGCAGGCGAUUCCGCCUGAAUAGUGUUGCAUGGAAUAAUGGAAUAGGACCUCGGUUCUAUUUUGUUGGUUUUCGGAACUUGAGGUAAUGAUUAAGAGGGACGGUCGGGGGCAUUCGUAUUUCGGUGUUAGAGGUGAAAUUCUUGGAUCGCUGAAAGACGGACAAAUGCGAAAGCAUCUGCCAAGAACGUCUCCAUUAAUCAAGAACGAAAGUCAGAGGUUCGAAGACGAUCAGACACCGUCCUAGUUCUGACCAUAAACGAUGCCAACUAGCGAUCCGCAGUGGUUGCUAUAAACGGACUCUGCGAGCAGCUUCCGGGAAACCAAAGUGUUUGGGUUCCGGGGGAAGUAUGCUUGCAAAGCUGAAACUUAAAGGAAUUGACGGAAGGGCACCACCAGGAGUGGAGCCUGCGGCUUAAUUUGACCCAACACGGGGAAACUCACCCGGUCCGGACACUGUAAGGAUUGACAGAUCGAGAGCUCUUUCUUGAUUCGGUGGAUGGUGGUGCAUGGCCGUUCUUAGUUGGUGGAGUGAUUUGUCUGGUUAAUUCCGAUAACGAACGAGACUCUAGCCUGCUAACUAGUUGCGCCGUGUUCAUACGCGGCUGUAGACUUCUUAGAGGGACAGGUGGCGUUUAGCCACACGAAAUUGAGCAAUAACAGGUCUGUGAUGCCCUUAGAUGUCCGGGGCCGCACGCGCGCUACACUGAAGGAGUCAGCGUGUGCUAUCCGGGCUCGGAAGAGUUCGGUAACCCGUUGAAACUCCUUCGUGCUUGGGAUUGUGGCUUGUAAUUAUCGCGCAUGAACGAGGAAUUCCCAGUAAGUGCAAGUCAUCAGCUUGCGCUGACUACGUCCCUGCCCUUUGUACACACCGCCCGUCGCUACUACCGAUUGAAUGGUUUAGCAAGGUACUCGGAUUGGUCUCGAUCUUGUACGAAAGUGCGGGAUCUGUGGCCGAGAAGAAGGCCAAACUUGAUCAUUUAGAGGAAGUAAA
RNAcentral lists this ribosomal RNA (1289 nucleotides) under metagenome. Its description in RNAcentral is "SSU rRNA". It matches the Rfam family "Eukaryotic small subunit ribosomal RNA", at positions 483 to 1786 of the family's 1831-position model. The record is from RNAcentral.